Molecule: long non-coding RNA, 577 nt
Filed under: Mytilus galloprovincialis (Mediterranean mussel)
Lineage: Eukaryota; Metazoa; Mollusca; Bivalvia; Mytilida; Mytilidae
Source: RNAcentral
CAGAACUUCGAAUUUGCCACGCAAAUAAGUGAUUUAAAAAUCACUUAUUUCAGUAAGUCCCCUGACUGGUGAAAUAUGGAAGUCACUUGAAGGAGAUUUUUCGUUUUAUUAUUAUUUAAUCAUUAGAGAAACAGAUUCUUACAAAGUUACUCGUGGAUUAUCGGAUUUAUACAAACUGAAUAGUUAAACUAUCAAUUGUUAAGUCCUUGCCAAGACUCAAACUUUAAAAUUGAUAAUUUAACUAUCUUGAUUGGAUAAAUCGAAUAGUCCACUGGUAUCAAUGUAAGAAUCUAUAUAUACACAUUACUUAUUACCUCAAAACUCUGAUCAAAUACAACUUUUGGUAAGUCACUUUUACCGUUCUUAGGUUAUGUCACUUUAUAACUUUAUAUGAUAUAUAUGAUAUGCAAGCAGGGGCAUCAUGUAUGUCCCAUGAACAUGUUCCCCAUUUAUUUGUAUUAAAAUUUUGUAACAAUGUACAUAUUGUGAUUUGCUAUAUAGAAAACCACCUUUGAUUAUACAUUGUACCUUGUUAAAAUUCAUAUCUGUACUUUUUAUUACUGUUUAUGAUUUUCAG